GACGAACGCUGGCGGCGCGCCUAACACAUGCAAGUCGAACGAGAGAUGAGGAGCUUGCUCUUCAAAUCGAGUGGCGAACGGGUGAGUAACGCGUGAGGAACCUGCCUCAAAGAGGGGGACAACAGUUGGAAACGACUGCUAAUACCGCAUAAGCCCACAGCUCGGCAUCGAGCAGAGGGAAAAGGAGCAAUCCGCUUUGAGAUGGCCUCGCGUCCGAUUAGCUAGUUGGUGAGGUAACGGCCCACCAAGGCGACGAUCGGUAGCCGGACUGAGAGGUUGAACGGCCACAUUGGGACUGAGACACGGCCCAGACUCCUACGGGAGGCAGCAGUGGGGAAUAUUGCACAAUGGGGGAAACCCUGAUGCAGCGACGCCGCGUGGAGGAAGAAGGUCUUCGGAUUGUAAACUCCUGUUGUUGAGGAAGAUAAUGACGGUACUCAACAAGGAAGUGACGGCUAACUACGUGCCAGCAGCCGCGGUAAAACGUAGGUCACAAGCGUUGUCCGGAAUUACUGGGUGUAAAGGGAGCGCAGGCGGGAGAACAAGUUGGAAGUGAAAUCCAUGGGCUCAACCCAUGAACUGCUUUCAAAACUGUUUUUCUUGAGUAGUGCAGAGGUAGGCGGAAUUCCCGGUGUAGCGGUGGAAUGCGUAGAUAUCGGGAGGAACACCAGUGGCGAAGGCGGCCUACUGGGCACCAACUGACGCUGAGGCUCGAAAGUGUGGGUAGCAAACAGGAUUAGAUACCCUGGUAGUCCACACCGUAAACGAUGAUUACUAGGUGUUGGAGGAUUGACCCCUUCAGUGCCGCAGUUAACACAAUAAGUAAUCCACCUGGGGAGUACGACCGCAAGGUUGAAACUCAAAGGAAUUGACGGGGGCCCGCACAAGCAGUGGAGUAUGUGGUUUAAUUCGACGCAACGCGAAGAACCUUACCAAGUCUUGACAUCCCUUGACGAUGCUGGAAACAGUAUUUCUCUUCGGAGCAAGGAGACAGGUGGUGCAUGGUUGUCGUCAGCUCGUGUCGUGAGAUGUUGGGUUAAGUCCCGCAACGAGCGCAACCCUUAUGGUCAGUUACUACGCAAGAGGACUCUGGCCAGACUGCCGUUGACAAAACGGAGGAAGGUGGGGAUGACGUCAAAUCAUCAUGCCCUUUAUGACUUGGGCUACACACGUACUACAAUGGCGUUAAACAAAGAGAAGCAAGACCGCGAGGUGGAGCAAAACUCAGAAACAACGUCCCAGUUCGGACUGCAGGCUGCAACUCGCCUGCACGAAGUCGGAAUUGCUAGUAAUCGUGGAUCAGCAUGCCACGGUGAAUACGUUCCCGGGCCU
RNAcentral lists this ribosomal RNA (1332 nucleotides) under uncultured bacterium. Its description in RNAcentral is "bacterial SSU rRNA". It matches the Rfam family "Bacterial small subunit ribosomal RNA", at positions 28 to 1381 of the family's 1533-position model. The record is from RNAcentral.